RNAcentral lists this ribosomal RNA (2412 nucleotides) under Triticum aestivum (bread wheat). RNAcentral describes it as "partial small subunit ribosomal RNA". Lineage: Eukaryota; Viridiplantae; Streptophyta; Magnoliopsida; Poales; Poaceae. The record is from RNAcentral.
AUGGCGUACAUCGACGUUAGAACCAAGGCCUGUCCAGAUAUUGGCAUAGACGCUUACGUCAGAAAUCUGACCUCGUCGUACGCCGGCCAGAGCGACGAGACCUACGUGGUGGCCACCUCCGUCCUCAUGCUCAUGCUCGCCGUGGGCUUCCUCGCCCUCAGCCUCUUCAGCCGCGUCGCCAACCUCAGCUCCGUCCACCACCCCCUGGGCCGUCUCCUCCUCUCCGGCGCCAUCUCCCUCUUCCUCCCCGUCAUGUCCUACCUCUUCUCCGAGGCCAAGAUGCCGCAUGGGUGCAUGGAGUCCCACUCCCAGUCCCCGGGCGUCCGCGGGGGCAGCCGCACCCCGGAGCUGCCGCCGCGAGCUCGGGAGAUCCUCACAUGGAUGCUUCUCGUGGAGCUCCUCCGCAGGAAGGUGGAGGCGGUGAACCUCGUCGCAGAGGGCAUACAACGGUACAUCGGCGUCUUCACCAACGGAGCCACCGUGGCUUGGCUGGGCUACCUCGUCUUCACCAACGUCAGGGGAACUGGCCGGGUCGCCGUGUUUGGCUUCCUCUGGAUAGUGUGUGCCACCAAGUGGGUGCAGAGGUUCGUCUUCGCCAAGGUACUCAAACACUCCUUGUCGUACGACAUGAAUGCCGGGCUCGUCUCCUGCUACAUGGACCAGAUGAUGCUACAACUCCGGCAAGGCGUGCCGGGGAACGACGCGCCACCGGAGGAGAAGCUGAAGAGGUGCGACUACGUCGUCAUGGGGGAAGAGAAGCUGGUGUCGGAGGCAUCUGGCCCGCGGGGCUACAGGCUCCACGACCUCCAGAAGGUCGCCACCGUCGUCACCGUCGGAAGAGUGUGGCGACUCGCCGACGUUGAGGUUGAGGAGGGUGACGCCCGUCCCCUCCUGAAAUCUAACCCAUGUUUAAAGAGGCUCUGCCUCUCCAUGGCGUUGUUCAAGCUUCUCCGGCGUAGGAUCGAGCGCCAGCCAGCCAUGGCCAAGGAAGAAACGGACCACUGCCGGGACCUCAUCCUGCAAGGCUUGUUUAAGGAAGACGAAGACGGCGGCUCCCUAGUGUUGGAGGUGCUCAACAAUGAGGUGGACUUCCUGAGCGAGUAUUACCACUCGGUCCACCCCGUUGUGCUCGCCAGCCCCUACUUCUUUGUGGUCAACUACCUUGUGGUGCCGGUUGUGGUGUGCUGUCUCUGUGCCACCACUACCAUCCUCUCCGGCAGCGGCCACGUGCUGUUCGCGUUCCAUACCAUCAAAGCAGACAACUACGCCAUACGCUACGGGAUAUUCAGGGUGCUUAGGUGCCUCCUGGAAAGAGCUCUUACCAGCCCCCAGGCAUUCUUCCCCGCCAUCGACGUCAUCAUCUCCUACCUCCUCUUCACUGCCUUCUUCCUGGAGCAGCUGAUCGAGUUCGUGGUGUUCCUGCUCUCCAACUGGUUCAUGGUGUCACUCUUGUGCCGCUACAUCGCAAAGAGCCAGUGGCGGCACAGAUCCGUCUUCCCAUGGGCCGUCCGCUUCAUCUCAUGGGCCAGGAGAAGGCUCCGCCCCCCUAGCAACAUCACCUUCAAGCAGUUCUCCGUGUUGAGCUCGUUCUGGCACCCAGCGAUGCUGCCGAGCGCGUCUCUACCAAGAGAAGCAAAGCCUUCCAUUGUGAAACGGUUCCGCCUCGCGGCAUAUGGCCAUGACGGGAACGACGACAAUGUCAUCCCCGAUUCCGUUCCUCUUAGCAAGGGCCGCCGCGCACUAGAAAUGCCGGGUCGGCUACAAUAUAUGCACUUGUCAUGGUUCUGCAAUAUUGAGUGUGUUGCCGAGGCCAUCCUCACCUGGCACAUAGCUACCAGCCUCGUGGAGAUGAAACAUCCACACCGGAAGCGAAAGGGUAUUCCCGACGUCGUGGCGACGAGGCUGUCAAACUAUUGUGCUUACCUCGUGGGCACCUGCCCCGAGCUGUUGCCCGGCCACCAGGAGGGGACGAAGCGCGUGUUUAGUAACAUGAAGAAGGAUAUGAGGAAGGAGCUCGGAUUUUGGGGCUAUCACUACCCGUCCAAGCAUGCCCGUUCCAACAAAAUGAUGACGCUAACCCAUGAUAAGCUGAUGCCGGACCAUCAGGAUCAGGAUGAGUCCAUGACGGUGGUUCAGAAGGGCAUAGCUCUGGGGAAGGCGCUGAUAGAAGCCAUCAGCAAGGGGAGCGAUCAGCCCGUCUGGGAGCUACUGGCCGAUGUGUGGGUGGAGCUCAUCAUGUACGUCGCGCCAUCGAGCGGUGAUCAGCACGUGAAGGGGCACGAGGAGGCGCUGGCACGGGGCAGUGAGGUCAUGACCCUGCUCUGGGCGCUCGCCACGCACACCGGCAUAACCCGCCCACCGCCGACCGCGGUGGCCGUCGAAAUGAUCGACGAUGGAAUAUGCCUAGCCUAG